CUGGAAGCGACUCUCUAGGCACCAACACAACUGAAUCCUAAUGAAGUAGUUUUGGUGCACAGAGAAGGUAAAACUUUGCAGUUUUAGACAGAUAUGUUUACGUUUUCCCAAGCACAUGCCUCACGUUGUGGUCAGCCUUUUAUCCAGCAUGAUGCUGUUUAACGCUCAUUGAAUUGUUUAUAGUGCCUGGCAUCCAAUUGUGCAAUCAUGUUCAAGUAAUUUAACACUAAUUAAGGGUCACCCACAGCAUGGCCCCUGCUGGCACAAACGCUUAGGCCAAGAAAUCAUUCCUGCAAUGGGCUCUGUGAUUGUCUGAGAAUGUCAGAUGACUUCCUUUAGCUUGCAGUUUCUAUUCAGGCUAAUGCUUCGUCAUUAGUCCAAGUAGCACACAGGGGUUGGGCUGUUCGGGGUCUCUCAUUUAGCAUUAAAUAUUAAAAACCUUUUAAUUUUGAAUGGAAGGAUUGCAACA
Molecule: non-coding RNA, 469 nt
Organism: Pelobates cultripes (western spadefoot toad)
Lineage: Eukaryota; Metazoa; Chordata; Amphibia; Anura; Pelobatidae
Source: the annotation of a GenBank genome assembly